UCGCGGGAUGGAGCAGUCUGGUAGCUCGUCGGGCUCAUAACCCGAAGGUCGUUGGUUCAAAUCCAGCUCCCGCAAUUUGGUCCAUUGGAGCAGUGGUUUAUCUCGCCUCCCUGUCACGAAGGAGAUCAUGGGUUCAAAUCCCAUAUGGACCGUAAG
This 156-nucleotide transfer RNA is filed under the name Lactobacillus crispatus 214-1. RNAcentral's name for it is "tRNA-Asp". The stretch from base 2 to 75 matches the Rfam family "tRNA". Lineage: Bacteria; Bacillati; Bacillota; Bacilli; Lactobacillales; Lactobacillaceae. The record is from RNAcentral.